CUGCUUGAGGUCUUCGGUUUGAUCUGUGGACCCAGUAACAUGAUUGUGUUCUGCAACGGCUUUGUCUUAAUGGUUGCGAUCUUCAUCAGACACAAAGCAUCAACCUAAAUUUGACUGAUAUAUGAGAACAUGCUUUUGCUAAUAAUUCAAUAUCCUUAAUUGGAUGCUCUCCCGAAAAUAUUCCAUCUUACUGCUUUCCUCCAAAACUUGGUUCUUUUGAUAGUUGGAACAUGUAGGAAUAAAUUUCAUCAAAAUCUUCCAGCGUUUCUUAUCUUGUGACUGUGAGUCUGUAACCGCCACCGAUAAUCAACACCACCAGCCUCAAG
This 326-nucleotide unclassified non-coding RNA is filed under the name Hevea brasiliensis (rubber tree). The record is from RNAcentral. Lineage: Eukaryota; Viridiplantae; Streptophyta; Magnoliopsida; Malpighiales; Euphorbiaceae.